UACGAAGGGGGCUAGCGUUGUUCGGAAUUACUGGGCGUAAAGCGCGCGCAGGCGGUCUUCCAAGUCAGUGGUGAAAGCCCGGGGCUCAACCCCGGAAUUGCCUUUGAGACUGCAUCGCUAGAAUUGUGGAGAGGUAAGUGGAAUUCCGAGUGUAGAGGUGAAAUUCGUAGAUAUUCGGAAGAACACCAGUGGCGAAGGCGACUUACUGGACACAUAUUGACGCUGAGGUGCGAAAGCGUGGGGAGCAAACAGG
RNAcentral lists this ribosomal RNA (253 nucleotides) under uncultured bacterium. RNAcentral describes it as "partial 16S ribosomal RNA". It matches the Rfam family "Bacterial small subunit ribosomal RNA", at positions 524 to 776 of the family's 1533-position model. The record is from RNAcentral.